GACGAACGCUGGCGGCGUGCUUAACACAUGCAAGUCGAACGGAAAGGCCCUGCUUUUGUGGGGUGCUCGAGUGGCGAACGGGUGAGUAACACGGGAGUAACCUGCCCUUGACUUUGGGAUAACUUCAGGAAACUGGGGCUAAUACCGGAUAGGAGCUCCUGCUGCAUGGUGGGGGUUGGAAAGUUUCGGCGGUUGGGGAUGGACUCGCGGCUUAUCAGCUUGUUGGUGGGGUAGUGGCUUACCAAGGCUUUGACGGGUAGCCGGCCUGAGAGGGUGACCGGCCACAUUGGGACUGGGAUACGGCCCAGACUCCUACGGGAGGCAGCAGUGGGGAAUAUUGCACAAUGGGCGGAAGCCUGAUGCAGCAACGCCGCGUGCGGGAUGACGGCCUUCGGGUUGUAAACCGCUUUCGCCUGUGACGAAGCGUGAGUGACGGUAAUGGGUAAAGAAGCACCGGCUAACUACGUG
This 468-nucleotide ribosomal RNA is filed under the name uncultured bacterium. RNAcentral describes it as "partial 16S ribosomal RNA". It matches the Rfam family "Bacterial small subunit ribosomal RNA", at positions 28 to 507 of the family's 1533-position model. The record is from RNAcentral.